RNAcentral lists this long non-coding RNA (399 nucleotides) under Brachypodium distachyon (stiff brome). Its description in RNAcentral is "long non-coding RNA (BDIS_LNC000858)". The record is from RNAcentral. Lineage: Eukaryota; Viridiplantae; Streptophyta; Magnoliopsida; Poales; Poaceae.
AGCCGUUAGGUUUUUUUCUCUGUGUCUAUUUCAUAGGAAUAUAGAUGCUAGAGGUAUGUUUGGUUUUACCCCUAUUUUGCCAUGCUAAAUUUUUGUUGAGAGAAAAUUACUCAAAACCACCACAUCUAGGGCACAUGUUUAGGAAAACCACCUUUUUUUUCUUUUAUUUUCAAAUUACCACCACUUUCUUGUUCCGUUGUACUCCCGCGCACUGAUUUCGCUGUUGAUCUCGUUUUGACGGAAAAACUGACAGGUAGGCCCACCUGUCGGUGCCACCGUGGUGCCACGCUGGACAAAGGGUGUGAACCGGCCGCUCCCUGUCCCUGUCUUUCUCAGACGAAGCUGCCGCCGCAACUCUCCGGGUCCUCCGCGACUUUCCCUCCGCCCACCCUUUCAGGC